This 433-nucleotide ribosomal RNA is filed under the name uncultured bacterium. RNAcentral describes it as "partial 16S ribosomal RNA". It matches the Rfam family "Bacterial small subunit ribosomal RNA", at positions 28 to 507 of the family's 1533-position model. The record is from RNAcentral.
AACGAACGCUGGCGGCAUGCCUAACACAUGCAAGUCGAACGAGACCUUCGGGUCUAGUGGUGCACUGGUGCGUAACGCGUGGGAACCUGCCCUUAGGUUCGGGAUCUCUCCCCGAAAGGGGUCCUAAUACCGGCUACUGUCUCCGGUCCAAAGUUUUAUCGCCUUUGGAUGGGCCGGCGGUGGAUUAGCUUGUGGGUAGGGUAAAAGGCUCCCCAGGCGACGAUCCAUAGCUGGGCUGAGAGGAUGAGCAGCCACACUGGGGCGGAGACACGGCCCGGACGCCUAGGGGAGGCAGGAGUGGGGAAGAUGGGACGAUGGGCGAGAGCCGGAUGCAGCAGGGCCGGGUGAGUGAUGAAGGCGUGAGGGAAGUAAAGCUCGUUUACACGGGGUGAGAAUGACGGUACCGGGAGAAUAAGCACCGGCUAACUCCGUG